This 751-nucleotide ribosomal RNA is filed under the name Yersinia sp. (in: enterobacteria). RNAcentral's name for it is "bacterial SSU rRNA". It matches the Rfam family "Bacterial small subunit ribosomal RNA", at positions 66 to 802 of the family's 1533-position model. The record is from RNAcentral. Lineage: Bacteria; Pseudomonadati; Pseudomonadota; Gammaproteobacteria; Enterobacterales; Yersiniaceae.
CAGCGGAAAGUAGCUUGCUACUUUGCCGNCGUAGNGGCGGACGGGCUGANGUAAUGUUCCUGGNAAACUGCCNUGCAUGGAGGGGGAUAACUACUGUAAAACGGUAGCUAAUACCGCAUGACCUCCCAAGAGCAAAGUGGGGGACCUUCGGGCCUCACGCCAUCGGAUGUGCCCAGAUGGGAUUANCUAGUAGGUGGGGUAAUGGCUCACCUANGCGACGAUCCCUAGCUGGUCUGAGAGGAUGACCAGCCACACUGGAACUGAGACACGGUCCAGACUCCUACGGGAGGCANCANUGGGGAAUAUUGCACAAUGGGCGCAAGCNUGAUGCAGCCAUGCCGCGUGUGUGAAGAAGGCCUUCGGGUUGUAAAGCACUUUCAGCGAGGAGGAAGGGUAUCGUGUUAAUAGCACGGUACAUUGACGUUACUCGCAGAAGAAGCACCGGCUAACUCCGUGCCAGCAGCCGCGGUAAUACGGAGGGUGCAAGCGUUAAUCGGAAUUACUGGGCGUAAAGCGCACGCAGGCGGUUUGUUAAGUCAGAUGUGAAAUCCCCGAGCUUAACUUGGGAACUGCAUUUGAAACUGGCAAGCUAGAGUCUUGUAGAGGGGGGUAGAAUUCCAGGUGUAGCGGUGAAAUGCGUANAGAUCUGGAGGAAUACCGGUGGCGAAGGCGGCCCCCUGGACAAAGACUGACGCUCAGGUGCGAAAGCGUGGGGAGCAAACAGGAUUAAAUACCCUGGUAGUCCACGCUG